AUUUGGGCAGAGGGAUCCUCCUCCUGUCACCACUGUUUGUAGGGGCUCUUCUGGAUGGUGAAUCUGCAUUUCUGGUGUGUCUCUGCUCCAGCUCCAUUCCACUGGCCCACCUAGGAGCCACAGGAAAGAUUAUGAACAGCUCUGUGGUGUGUCUCUGCGAAACUGAGGAGGAGUUUUACCAGCAUGAUGUGUGUGGCACACUUAAGGGGAGGUUAUUGUUGGAACUUUCCAAAGGGAGCAUUGAAAAACCAAGUCCACUGCUCUAUUUAAGAGCCCUGUCUGUCUCCCCUUGAUGAGAGGACAUAAGCCAGAGAGGUGUUCUGGGUGAAGGGACAGGUUGCAGCAGGCAAGGGAAUGACUGUGGCAUGCGUUGUUUCAGCCUGCUGCCAAGCACAGGUGCUCUGGCUCGGGCAGGUGCUGCACCAAUGUAAUUGAUGCUAUUGAUCCCUUUGCCUCCCAUCUGUUCCCUGGCUGUGCUGCACUGUAAAUUCUUCUGGUGGGACUUCAGGCGAGUCUGUUUUUCAUGCACAGGCAGUAACAGAGCUCCAUGUAUCCCCUCACUUGCUGUGUUUUUGGGGAUGGCUGGGGUAUCAGAAAAGGUCUGGGAAGUAUUCAUAAACGCAUGCCUGCUGUUGGCAGGUUGUGUGUGUUGUGCACUACUCAGGUGCCUAGAGAGGCUGAUGAAGAAACUUGUGUUACCGUGUAGGACAGUUGCUAAAUGGCUUUCCCCAUUAACUAGUGACAUUUGAGUUAAACUAAUGAGCAGCAUGUCUGCUGCAAUGCAGUGUGCAUUUUUUCUUGGAGACUUUUUUUCAGCUUAUAUGUUGUUUCACCAAUGCUCUUAGCCACCAUUACAGCUGAUUAAUGAUGCCUUUCAUUAAAGGGAAAUGAUUACGGACA
Pogoniulus pusillus (Red-fronted tinkerbird) is the source of this 900-nucleotide long non-coding RNA. RefSeq lists it as uncharacterized. The transcript has 2 exons. NCBI's taxonomy places the organism in Eukaryota, Metazoa, Chordata, Aves, Piciformes, Lybiidae. The record is from RefSeq and is a predicted model, not a curated record.